Molecule: ribosomal RNA, 305 nt
Filed under: uncultured bacterium
Lineage: Bacteria
Description: bacterial SSU rRNA
Rfam family: Bacterial small subunit ribosomal RNA
Source: RNAcentral
UGUUUCCUACGGGGCGCAGCAGUGGGGGAUAUUGCACAAUGGGGGAAACCCUGAUGCAGCGACGCCGCGUGAGUGAAGAAGUAUUUCGGUACGUAAAGCUCUAUCAGCAGGGAAGAAUAAUGACGGUACCUGACUAAGAAGCCCCGGCUAACUACGUGCCAGCAGCCGCGGUAAUACGUAGGGGGCAAGCGUUAUCCGGAUUUCCUGGGGGUAAAGGGAGCGUAGACGGCUGUGCAAGUCUGAAGUGAAAUGCCGUGGCGCAACCCCGGAACUGCUUUGGAAACUGGACAGCUAGAGUGCAGGAG